RNAcentral lists this ribosomal RNA (468 nucleotides) under uncultured bacterium. RNAcentral describes it as "partial 16S ribosomal RNA". It matches the Rfam family "Bacterial small subunit ribosomal RNA", at positions 28 to 507 of the family's 1533-position model. The record is from RNAcentral.
GACGAACGCUGGCGGCGUGCUUAACACAUGCAAGUCGAACGGAAAGGCCCUGCUUUUGUGGGGUGCUCGAGUGGCGAACGGGUGAGUAACACGUGAGUAACCUGCCCUUGACUUUGGGAUAACUUCAGGAAACUGGGGCUAAUACCGGAUAGGAGCUCCUGCUGCAUGGUGGGGGUUGGAAAGUUUCGGCGGUUGGGGAUGGACUCGCGGCUUAUCAGCUUGUUGGUUGGGGAGUGGCUUACCAAGGCUUUGACGGGUAGCCGGCCUGUGAGGGUGGCCGGCCACAUUGGGACUGAGAUACGGCCCAGACUCCUACGGGAGGCAGCAGUGGGGAAUAUUGCACAAUGGGCGGAAGCCUGAUGAAGCAACGCCGCGUGCGGGAUGACGGCCUUCGGGUUGUAAACCGCUUUAGCCUGUGACGAAGCGUGAGUGACGGUAAUGGGUAAAGAAGCACCGGCUAACUACGUG